ACGCUGGCGGCGUGCUUAACACAUGCAAGUCGAACGAAGAUACCAAGCUUGCUUGGUUGAUUAGUGGCGAACGGGUGAGUAACACGUGAGUAACCUGCCCCUUACUUUCCUGGAUAACUGCUCGAUAGGGUAGCUAAUACGGGAUAUUCUGACCAUCCUGCAUGGGUUGGUUUGGAAAGGUUGUUUUUCUGGUAAGGGAUGGGCUCGCGGCCUAUCAGCUUGUUGGUGGGGUGAUGGCCUACCAAGGCUUUGACGGGUAGCCGGCCUGAGAGGGUGGACGGUCACACUGGGACUGAGAUACGGCCCAGACUCCUACGGGAGGCAGCAGUGGGGAAUAUUGCACAAUGGGCGCAAGCCUGAUGCAGCGACGCCGCGUGAGGGAUGAAGGCCUUCGGGUUGUAAACCUCUUUCGUCAGGGAACAAGGCACUGCUUUUUUGGUGGUGUUGAGGGUACCUGGAUAAGAAGCGCCGGCUAACUACGUGCCAGCAGCCGCGGUAAUACGUAGGGCGCAAGCGUUGUCCGGAAUUAUUGGGCGUAAAGAGCUCGUAGGCGGCUGGUCACGUCUGUCGUGAAAACUUCCGGCUCAACCGGGGGCUUGCGGUGGGUACGGGCCGGCUAGAGUGCGGUAGGGGUAACUGGAACUCCUGGUGUAGCGGUGGAAUGCGCAGAUAUCAGGAAGAACACCGAUGGCGAAGGCAGGUUACUGGGCCGUUACUGACGCUGAGGAGCGAAAGCGUGGGGAGCGAACAGGAUUAGAUACCCUGGUAGUCCACGCCGUAAACGUUGGGCACUAGGUGUGAGGCUCCUUUCCGGGGGUUUUGCGCCGUAGCUAACGCAUUAAGUGCCCCGCCUGGGGAGUACGGCCGCAAGGCUAAAACUCAAAGGAAUUGACGGGGGCCCGCA
Molecule: ribosomal RNA, 904 nt
Filed under: uncultured bacterium
Lineage: Bacteria
Description: bacterial SSU rRNA
Rfam family: Bacterial small subunit ribosomal RNA
Source: RNAcentral